RNAcentral lists this ribosomal RNA (1550 nucleotides) under metagenome. RNAcentral describes it as "bacterial LSU rRNA". It matches the Rfam family "Bacterial large subunit ribosomal RNA", at positions 1427 to 2925 of the family's 2925-position model. The record is from RNAcentral.
CCGUUAAUAUUCCGCACCAUGGUCAGUUGUUUUAUCGAUGGAGUGACGCAGGAGGUUAUACCCGCACGGAAAGAAAUUGCCGUGUCGAACGGUGUAGGCAGUGAUCGCAGGCAAAUCCGCGGUUGCUAUCAAGCUGAGGCCGGACAGGCCACCGAAUUAAGUAGGUGGAAGGAGUAGAUACCGCGCUGCCGAGAAAAGCUUCUAAGAGAGACUGAUUGUGACCGUACCGUAAACCGACACAGGUGGGUGAGGAGAAUAUCCUAAGGCGCUCGAAAGAACCCACGUUAAGGAACUCGGCAAAUUAACUCCGUAACUUCGGGAGAAGGAGUGCUCCGGUAGGGUGACUGGAAUACAUAGGAAACUUUGUAUCGAAAGGUAGCCCGAUGGAGUCGCAGAGAAUAGGCUCAGGCGACUGUUUAUCAAAAACACAGGACUCUGCUAAAGCGAAUAGCCGACGUAUAGGGUCUGAUGCCUGCCCAAUGCUGGAAGGUUACGGGGAGGAGUCAGAAGUGGUAACACUUCGAAGCUCUGAACUUAAGCCCCAGUGAAUGGCGGCCGUAACGAUAACGGUCCUAAGGUAGCGAAAUCCCUUGUCAGGUAAGUUCUGACCCGCAUGAAUGGCUUAACGGUCUGAGCACUGUCUCAACGUGGGGUUCGGCGAAACUGUGCACCGGGUGAAGACGCCCGGUAUCCGCAUCAGGACAAAAAGACCCCGUGGAGCUUUACUGUAUCUUGAUAUUGGAUUUUGGCCUGUUAUGUAGAGCAUAGGUGGGAGACUAUGAAGUUAGGGCGCCAGCCUUGGCGGAGUCGACAAUGGAAUACCACCCUUAUCAGUCUGGAAUUCUAACCUUGGCCCAUUGAUCUGGGUUGGGGACAGUGUCAGGUGGGCAGUUUGACUGGGGCGGUCGCCUCCUAAAGAGUAACGGAGGCGUUCAAAGGUUCCCUCAGCGUGAUUGGAAACCACGCGCAGAGUGUAAAGGCAAAAGGGAGCUUGACUGUGAGGCAAACGAGCCGAGCAGGGACGAAAGUCGGACUUAGUGAUCCGGUGGUACCGAAUGGAAGGGCCAUCGCUCAACGGAUAAAAGCUACCCCGGGGAUAACAGGCUUAUCUCUCCCAAGAGUUCAUAUCGACGGGGAGGUUUGGCACCUCGAUGUCGGCUCAUCGCAUCCUGGGGCUGGAGUAGGUCCCAAGGGUUGGGCUGUUCGCCCAUUAAAGCGGUACGUGAGCUGGGUUCAGAACGUCGUGAGACAGUUCGGUCUCUAUCCGAUGCGGACGUAGGAUGAUUGCGGGGCUCUGCUCUUAGUACGAGAGGACCGGAGUGGACAAACCGAUGGUGAACCAGUUGUCUUGUCAGAGGCACCGCUGGGUAGCUAAGUUUGGAUGGGAUAACCGCUGAAGGCAUCUAAGUGGGAAACCCACCUCAAGAUUAAUCAUCCCAAUCGAUCGAAAGACGAUGUAAGGGACCAUGUAGACUACGUGGUGAUAGGCCAGAGGUGUAAGCGUCGCGAGGCGUUAAGCUGACUGGUACUAAUAUCCCGAGGAUUUACUC